AACGCUGGCGGCAGGCCUAACACAUGCAAGUCGAGCGGUAGCACAGAGAGCUUGCUCUCGGGUGACGAGCGGCGGACGGGUGAGUAAUGUCUGGGAAACUGCCUGAUGGAGGGGGAUAACUACUGGAAACGGUAGCUAAUACCGCAUAACGUCGCAAGACCAAAGUGGGGGACCUUCGGGCCUCAUGCCAUCAGAUGUGCCCAGAUGGGAUUAGCUAGUAGGUGGGGUAACGGCUCACCUAGGCGACGAUCCCUAGCUGGUCUGAGAGGAUGACCAGCCACACUGGAACUGAGACACGGUCCAGACUCCUACGGGAGGCAGCAGUGGGGAAUAUUGCACAAUGGGCGCAAGCCUGAUGCAGCCAUGCCGCGUGUGUGAAGAAGGCCUUCGGGUUGUAAAGCACUUUCAGCGGGGAGGAAGGCGUUAAGGUUAAUAACCUUGGCGAUUGACGUUACCCGCAGAAGAAGCACCGGCUAACUCCGUGCCAGCAGCCGCGGUAAUACGGAGGGUGCAAGCGUUAAUCGGAAUUACUGGGCGUAAAGCGCACGCAGGCGGUCUGUCAAGUCGGAUGUGAAACCCCCGGGCUCAACCUGGGAACUGCAUUCGAAACUGGCAGGCUAGAGUCUUGUAGAGGGGGGUAGAAUUCCAGGUGUAGCGGUGAAAUGCGUAGAGAUCUGGAGGAAUACCGGUGGCGAAGGCGGCCCCCUGGACAAAGACUGACGCUCAGGUGCGAAAGCGUGGGGAGCAAACAGGAUUAGAUACCCUGGUAGUCCACGCCGUAAACGAUGUCGAUUUGGAGGUUGUGCCCUUGAGGCGUGGCUUCCGGAGCUAACGCGUUAAAUCGACCGCCUGGGGAGUACGGCCGCAAGGUUAAAACUCAAAUGAAUUGACGGGGGCCCGCACAAGCGGUGGAGCAUGUGGUUUAAUUCGAUGCAACGCGAAGAACCUUACCUGGUCUUGACAUCCACAGAACUUUCCAGAGAUGGAUUGGUGCCUUCGGGAACUGUGAGACAGGUGCUGCAUGGCUGUCGUCAGCUCGUGUUGUGAAAUGUUGGGUUAAGUCCCGCAACGAGCGCAACCCUUAUCCUUUGUUGCCAGCGGUUCGGCCGGGAACUCAAAGGAGACUGCCAGUGAUAAACUGGAGGAAGGUGGGGAUGACGUCAAGUCAUCAUGGCCCUUACGACCAGGGCUACACACGUGCUACAAUGGCAUAUACAAAGAGAAGCGACCUCGCGAGAGCAAGCGGACCUCAUAAAGUAUGUCGUAGUCCGGAUUGGAGUCUGCAACUCGACUCCAUGAAGUCGGAAUCGCUAGUAAUCGUAGAUCAGAAUGCUACGGUGAAUACGUUCCCGGGCCUUGUACACACCGCCCGUCACACCAUGGGAGUGGGUUGCAAAAGAAGUAGGUAGCUUAACCUUCGGGAGGGCGCUUACCACUUUGUGAUUCAUGACUGGGGUGAA
Molecule: ribosomal RNA, 1460 nt
Filed under: uncultured organism
Description: SSU rRNA
Rfam family: Bacterial small subunit ribosomal RNA
Source: RNAcentral